RNAcentral lists this ribosomal RNA (600 nucleotides) under Burkholderia sp. IBa235. RNAcentral describes it as "bacterial SSU rRNA". It matches the Rfam family "Bacterial small subunit ribosomal RNA", at positions 406 to 997 of the family's 1533-position model. Lineage: Bacteria; Pseudomonadati; Pseudomonadota; Betaproteobacteria; Burkholderiales; Burkholderiaceae. The record is from RNAcentral.
UGAAGGAAGGCCCCCGGGUUGUAAAGCACUUUUGUCCGGAAAGAAAUCCUUGGCUCUAAUACAGUCGGGGGAUGACGGUACCGGAAGAAUAAGCACCGGCUAACUACGUGCCAGCAGCCGCGGUAAUACGUAGGGUGCGAGCGUUAAUCGGAAUUACUGGGCGUAAAGCGUGCGCAGGCGGUUUGCUAAGACCGAUGUGAAAUCCCCGGGCUCAACCUGGGAACUGCAUUGGUGACUGGCAGGCUAGAGUAUGGCAGAGGGGGGUAGAACUCCACGUGUAGCAGUGAAAUGCGUAGAGAUGUGGAGGAACACCGAUGGCGAAGGCAGCCCCCUGGGCCAAUACUGACGCUCAUGCACGAAAGCGUGGGGAGCAAACAGGAUUAGAUACCCUGGUAGUCCACGCCCUAAACGAUGUCAACUAGUUGUUGGGGAUUCAUUUCCUUAGUAACGUAGCUAACGCGUGAAGUUGACCGCCUGGGGAGUACGGUCGCAAGAUUAAAACUCAAAGGAAUUGACGGGGACCCGCACAAGCGGUGGAUGAUGUGUUAUUAAUUCGAUGCAACGCGAAAAACCUUACCUACCCUUGACAUGGUCGGAAUC